Molecule: ribosomal RNA, 494 nt
Filed under: Microbacterium sp.
Lineage: Bacteria; Bacillati; Actinomycetota; Actinomycetes; Micrococcales; Microbacteriaceae
Description: bacterial SSU rRNA
Rfam family: Bacterial small subunit ribosomal RNA
Source: RNAcentral
UAAGUUCCCCGCCUGGGGAGUACGGCCGCAAGGCUAAAACUCAAAGGAAUUGACGGGGACCCGCACAAGCGGCGGAGCAUGCGGAUUAAUUCGAUGCAACGCGAAGAACCUUACCAAGGCUUGACAUACACCAGAACACCGUAGAAAUACGGGACUCUUUGGACACUGGUGAACAGGUGGUGCAUGGUUGUCGUCAGCUCGUGUCGUGAGAUGUUGGGUUAAGUCCCGCAACGAGCGCAACCCUCGUUCUUGUUGCCAGCACGUUAUGGUGGGAACUCAUGGGAUACUGCCGGGGUCAACUCGGAGGAAGGUGGGGAUGACGUCAAAUCAUCAUGCCCCUUAUGUCUUGGGCUUCACGCAUGCUACAAUGGCCGGUACAAAGGGCUGCAAUACCGUGAGGUGGAGCGAAUCCCAAAAAGCCGGUCCCAGUUCGGAUUGAGGUCUGCAACUCGACCUCAGAAGUCGGAGUCGCUAGUAAUCGCAGCAGCACCUCA